UACAGAGGUCCCAAGCGUUGUUCGGAUUCACUGGGCGUAAAGGGUGCGUAGGCGGCCGGGUAAGUCUGUCGUGAAAUCUCCGAGCCCAACUCGGAAACUGCGUCGGAUACUAUUCGGCUAGAGGAAUGGAGGGGAGACUGGAAUUCUCGGUGUAGCAGUGAAAUGCGUAGAUAUCGAGAGGAACACCAGUGGCGAAGGCGGGUCUCUGGACAGUUCCUGACACUGAGGCACGAAGGCCAGGGGAGCAAACGGG
Molecule: ribosomal RNA, 253 nt
Filed under: uncultured bacterium
Lineage: Bacteria
Description: partial 16S ribosomal RNA
Rfam family: Bacterial small subunit ribosomal RNA
Source: RNAcentral